RNAcentral lists this ribosomal RNA (1384 nucleotides) under Chryseobacterium sp. L5-5. RNAcentral describes it as "bacterial SSU rRNA". It matches the Rfam family "Bacterial small subunit ribosomal RNA". Lineage: Bacteria; Pseudomonadati; Bacteroidota; Flavobacteriia; Flavobacteriales; Weeksellaceae. The record is from RNAcentral.
UGCAGCCGAGCGGUAGAGAUCUUUCGGGAUCUUGAGAGCGGCGUACGGGUGCGGAACACGUGUGCAACCUGCCUUUAUCUGGGGGAUAGCCUUUCGAAAGGAAGAUUAAUACCCCAUAAUAUACUGAAUGGCAUCAUUCGGUAUUGAAAACUCCGGUGGAUAGAGAUGGGCACGCGCAAGAUUAGAUAGUUGGUGAGGUAACGGCUCACCAAGUCUACGAUCUUUAGGGGGCCUGAGAGGGUGAUCCCCCACACUGGUACUGAGACACGGACCAGACUCCUACGGGAGGCAGCAGUGAGGAAUAUUGGACAAUGGGUGAGAGCCUGAUCCAGCCAUCCCGCGUGAAGGACGACGGCCCUAUGGGUUGUAAACUUCUUUUGUAUAGGGAUAAACCUACCCUCGUGAGGGUAGCUGAAGGUACUAUACGAAUAAGCACCGGCUAACUCCGUGCCAGCAGCCGCGGUAAUACGGAGGGUGCAAGCGUUAUCCGGAUUUAUUGGGUUUAAAGGGUCCGUAGGCGGAUCUGUAAGUCAGUGGUGAAAUCUCACAGCUUAACUGUGAAACUGCCAUUGAUACUGCAGGUCUUGAGUGUUGUUGAAGUAGCUGGAAUAAGUAGUGUAGCGGUGAAAUGCAUAGAUAUUACUUAGAACACCAAUUGCGAAGGCAGGUUACUAAGCAACAACUGACGCUGAUGGACGAAAGCGUGGGGAGCGAACAGGAUUAGAUACCCUGGUAGUCCACGCCGUAAACGAUGCUAACUCGUUUUUGGAAUGUAAUUUUCAGAGACUAAGCGAAAGUGAUAAGUUAGCCACCUGGGGAGUACGAACGCAAGUUUGAAACUCAAAGGAAUUGACGGGGGCCCGCACAAGCGGUGGAUUAUGUGGUUUAAUUCGAUGAUACGCGAGGAACCUUACCAAGGCUUAAAUGGGAAAUGACAGGUUUAGAAAUAGACUUUUCUUCGGACAUUUUUCAAGGUGCUGCAUGGUUGUCGUCAGCUCGUGCCGUGAGGUGUUAGGUUAAGUCCUGCAACGAGCGCAACCCCUGUCACUAGUUGCCAUCAUUAAGUUGGGGACUCUAGUGAGACUGCCUACGCAAGUAGAGAGGAAGGUGGGGAUGACGUCAAAUCAUCACGGCCCUUACGCCUUGGGCCACACACGUAAUACAAUGGCCGGUACAGAGGGCAGCUACACUGCGAAGUGAUGCAAAUCUCGAAAGCCGGUCUCAGUUCGGAUUGGAGUCUGCAACUCGACUCUAUGAAGCUGGAAUCGCUAGUAAUCGCGCAUCAGCCAUGGCGCGGUGAAUACGUUCCCGGGCCUUGUACACACCGCCCGUCAAGCCAUGGAAGUCUGGGGUACCUGAAGUCGGUGACCGUAACAGGAGCUGC